GCCCAGGUGGCGAAAUUGGCAGACGCGCUACCUUGAGGUGGUAGUCCUGGAAACAGGGUGGAGGUUCGAGUCCUCUCCUGGGCA
RNAcentral lists this transfer RNA (84 nucleotides) under Planctomycetota bacterium. RNAcentral's name for it is "Planctomycetes bacterium tRNA-Leu". It matches the Rfam family "tRNA". From Rfam's summary of the family: Transfer RNA (tRNA) molecules are approximately 80 nucleotides in length. RNAcentral also lists the same sequence under 3 other names. Lineage: Bacteria; Pseudomonadati; Planctomycetota. The record is from RNAcentral.